UGCAUGUUCCAUCUAAAUAUUUACCACUAUCAAUAUUUGUACAUCCAAAUCACGCAAAUUAGGAUAUGCCAACAGCGGCUGUGGUGAGGAGUAGUAUCUUUAUGUUUAAAUAACCCUGUGUUAAAUCUCUCCCUGCUCCAAAACAGCUGAUUCAAACUAUCAACUAGUUCUGAAUCCUGAAGCUGCUUCAAUCAGCUGUGUUGAAGCAGGGAGAGAUUAAAUCCUGCAGGACAGGGAGAAACUUUCUCCAUGAGAGGGUUGGGAAACACUGUCGUAGUACAUAAACUUCAAUUCAUAAAGAUUCAUUCAUCCAGCCAGCAAAGUCUUUGCACGCUGUUUAAUGUUAAGUGUGAAAAGCUACACCGAACGGUCUAAACGAUAUAGAUUUUUAUUUGAUCUUGUUUUGGACAAAUAACUAACCUGAGCGUCGUCAACAUGUUAAGACAAAUGCAAACCUAUACCUUUGCAAAAUGCUUUACAAAAACAAACACACCGUAGCUUCAUACAGUCUAUGAGUAACGUUAGCUUACGUUAUCCAAAGGAAAAAGAAAGCUAAUCCUGCUACUUCAGGAGCUAACGCUAGCCACCGUUAAAAAACUGAGGAGGUCUGCAGUUGGACCCCUCUCAACACCUGGGACUCCCUUCCAGUCAGUCAGACCUGAAGAAGCCUCUUGGAUGAGAAAAGUCUUCCAGUAUCAAAAACCAUGGAGACUGUGUAUUGCUGCAUGCAGCUAUAUUUCUAGAUGUGCUGCUUCAGCUUCAGUUUGAGAAACAGAUCAUCAAGUUUGAAGCUUCAUCAGACACCGAAACACAGAAUAAUGUUUCUGCUUAUUUGAUCUUUUGUUGCAACAAUGAGGAGAAAUAAAGCAAUCUACCAGGAAUGUGCAUGUACGUUUUUGACCGGACGAUGCGGCGCCUUAGCGUUUGACCCUGUGCUGCUUCUUUUUUUCCCAGAGGCCCUUGCGUUGGUGGAUACACUGUGUCAACGCAGCAGGUCCAUUCAGAAGAAUGCGGGGGUUGAUUUUUCUCUGAACACAACCUUAAUUGGAGACACACUUCAAAGCCUGCUUCAUCUUCCCCGCGCCGUUACCUAAUCAUCCCGAUGCAUUAAUCUUUUAAUUAAACCUCUUUUGAUUGACAGGUGAUCCUCAGAGUGACAGCUCCAGUCAGAGGACGGGCUGGAUAUGGACACGCUGUCCUGCUCAGUCCACUCUGCUCCUGCAGCUCUAUAUAAGGUUAUCCGGCUCUCCGGGGGAAAGACAUGGAGGGCAGCACAGGAGACCAUCGCUUGGUGGAUUAACGCUCCUGAACCCCACACAUCUCACAAGUCCACAUCAGAUGCCCUGACUGAACCAAUGGGGAUAGGUGGACAGAGCAGAGCAGGAGUUGUGGAUAUAAUUU
This is a long non-coding RNA of Micropterus dolomieu (smallmouth bass), 1401 nucleotides long. RefSeq lists it as uncharacterized. The record is from RefSeq and is a predicted model, not a curated record. NCBI's taxonomy places the organism in Eukaryota, Metazoa, Chordata, Actinopteri, Centrarchiformes, Centrarchidae. The transcript has 3 exons.